This 428-nucleotide ribosomal RNA is filed under the name uncultured bacterium. RNAcentral describes it as "bacterial SSU rRNA". It matches the Rfam family "Bacterial small subunit ribosomal RNA", at positions 355 to 775 of the family's 1533-position model. The record is from RNAcentral.
UAGGGAAUAUUGCGCAAUGGGCGAAAGCCUGACGCAGCGACGCCGCGUGGGUGAUGAAGCUCUUUGGAGUGUAAAACCCUUUCAGCAGGGAAGAACCGCAUACGGAGUAACUGCCGUAUGCCUGACGGUACCUGCAGAAGAAGCUCCGGCCAACUCCGUGCCAGCAGCCGCGGUAAUACGGGGGGAGCGAGCGUUGUUCGGAUUUACUGGGCGUAAAGGGCGCGUAGGUGGGUCUUCAAGUCAAAUGUGAAAACCGACGGCUUAACCAUCGGCCUGCAUUUGAUACUGUCGAUCUUGAGUACGGGAGAGGAAAGCGGAAUUCCUGGUGUAGCGGUGAAAUGCGUAGAUAUCAGGAGGAACACCGGUGGCGAAGGCGGCUUUCUGGCCCGAUACUGACACUGAGGCGCAAAGGCCGGGGGAGCAAACAG